UACCAAGAAAUCCGAGCUUCAGCCAUCUAAAACCAUGAACCGAACCGAUCUUGAAAAAAAUCGAAUCCGAUUUUGGUUAAACCAAGUAGACAAUGAACGCCGAAGCUUACAUUUUCCGUCCGAUAACCCAAAACCCCUUUUCGCUGUUUAAAAUCUGUGAAAAUGUACUUUUAUCUCCGGCGACGAAGAGAGUAAUAAGCAAAGCUCUCGCAAUGACCGAAGCUCCACGCCAUCGAGUAGCUGCGUCGGAGAUUUUUCCUCCAUUAACUCGGGCACACCACAAUCGGGAAUCGGCUCAUUUGUCUGACUGUUCUCGCAAGGAGCUCUCUUGGAUCUUCUGACAUAAACUGGUGUGUAUAGUUCACCUAAAAAAAAGCUCAUCUUAAUGGGAUUACAAGCACAAGAAGCUUAUCCUGAGCUCUGGCAUCAUGCCACUGAUGGUGAUUAUUCAGGGUAAAGUGCAACGACUCAGAGUUGGUGGUAGGCCCCCAGGGUCAGCUAUAAUUCUUUCAAGUCAGGUGAUGGAACAGCCACAGUCUGCUACUGUCAUGGACUGAGAAAGCUGGGAUGUGGGGAAAGCAGUCGCGCUUGGUGGAGUUGAACCUCCAGAGCAAAGUUUGUCACACACUUGGAUAAAACAGCUACAAGGGAGAAUUCGGAUUUAGAGAUUAGUGGAGCCGAAAAUUGGGUCAAACAGCCCGUGACCAAGUGUCAGAAGCUUUACUGCUUGCUUGGAGAAGCUUUAGUCAAUCUGGUGCAUUUGAAUGUUUUUGCUCAGCAAAAGUAAAUCUAUAGAGUGACACAUUAGCUAAGCAUUGGACAACAAGAAGUAGAGGUGCUGACAUAGUGGCUAGGACUGUCAUAUCUGCACAAUUGGUCGAGAAAUGUCUUUGCUUUUUUUGCUCUAUCCAAAUGCCAUGAGGAGUUGUGUUGUAAUUUGUAAACAGAGUACUCACCUGGAUCUCACUGUUUUCUUUUUUUUUUUUGU
This is a long non-coding RNA of Brassica oleracea var. oleracea, 988 nucleotides long. RefSeq lists it as uncharacterized. NCBI's taxonomy places the organism in Eukaryota, Viridiplantae, Streptophyta, Magnoliopsida, Brassicales, Brassicaceae. The record is from RefSeq and is a predicted model, not a curated record. The transcript is spliced from 3 exons.